This 250-nucleotide ribosomal RNA is filed under the name uncultured prokaryote. RNAcentral describes it as "partial 16S ribosomal RNA". It matches the Rfam family "Bacterial small subunit ribosomal RNA", at positions 524 to 772 of the family's 1533-position model. The record is from RNAcentral.
UACAUAGGGGGCGAGCGUUAUCCGGAAUGACUGGGCGUAAAGGGUGUGUAGGCGGUUUUGUAAGUUGGAAGUGUAAUACCUAGAGCUUAACUCAGGUGCUGCUUCCAAUACUGUAGAACUUGAGUGCAGGAGAGGAUGAUGGAAUUCCUAGUGUAGCGGUGGAAUGCAUAGAUAUUAGGAGGAACACCAGAGGCGAAAGCGAUCAUCUAGACUGCAACUGACGCUGAGACACGAAAGCGUGGGUAGCAAA